CUGCUCAGUAACACGUGGACAACCUACCCUAUGGAGGGGGAUAACCCCGGGAAACUGGGGAUAAUACCCCAUAGACUAUAGAUGCUGGAAUGCUUUGUAGUUGAAAGGUCAGCCGCCAUAGGAUGGGUCUGCGGCCGAUUAGGUUGUUGUUGGGGUAACGGCCCAACAAGCCUGUAAUCGGUACGGGUUGUGGGAGCAAGAGCCCGGAGAUGGAUUCUGAGACACGAAUCCAGGCCCUACGGGGCGCAGCAGGCGCGAAAACUUUACAAUGCGGGAAACCGUGAUAAGGGAACUCCGAGUGCCCGUAAAAUCGGGCUGUCCAUCUGUUUAAAUAACAGGUGAAGAAAGGGCCGGGCAAGACCGGUGCCAGCCGCCGCGGUAAUACCGGCGGCUCGAGUGGUGGCCACUAUUACUGGGCUUAAAGCGUUCGUAGCUGGUCUGUUAAGUCUCUGGGGAAAUCUACUGGCUUAACCAAUAGGCGUCUCAGGGAUACUGGCAGACUAGGGACCGGGAGAGGUGAGAGGUACUCCAGGGGUAGGAGUGAAAUCCUGUAAUCCUUGGGGGACCACCUGUGGCGAAGGCGUCUCACCAGAACGGCUCCGACAGUGAGGGACGAAAGCUGGGGGAGCAAACCGGAUUAGAUACCCGGGUAGUCCCAGCCG
Molecule: ribosomal RNA, 662 nt
Filed under: uncultured Methanomicrobiales archaeon
Lineage: Archaea; Methanobacteriati; Methanobacteriota; Methanomicrobia; Methanomicrobiales
Description: bacterial SSU rRNA
Rfam family: Archaeal small subunit ribosomal RNA
Source: RNAcentral